GUAGCGUGAUGAACUUCUUUCACUUGUAUGUAGGAGACGUUUGAUCCCCAUUACAAGUAAGCUGUGCAUACGUAAAUGUUUAGCAAGUACACUUGCUGAAAGUAGAAAGCAAAUAUGAGAAAACUAUACUUUAAAGUCAAUUCAAACAAAACAUAUACAUAAUGUUCAUACUGCAAAAAUGUUGUACAGUGUUUGAAAAUAUUCACACAGCUAACCUAGCUACCGGUACUAUUGUUCCCAAGUCCUAUUAACGGUAUAACCAAUUAACUCUGUAAACACUUCACCAAAAUGAAAGACAUCUUAUAAACAUAUACACCAGAAAAUAGACACAUCAAUGUGUCAUUCAUAGAUAUACAAUCCAUUAGUCACCUUGACUUAUGAAUGUAAAUCUCACCAGUAGCAGCUAUACUAGAUACCCCUACUCACAUUUUCGGAAGUACUAGUCUAACCUAACCACUCUGGUCCUAAAAUAAUUCUCAACCCUUGUGAGAAAAAACACAUCCAGUGCAAAGUUAUAUGUCGCUACUAUAUGCUAUAUACUUAAAAAAUAAUUACAUGUAUUGAGAAUGUAAGUGUAAAACUAUCCAUGCGGUUGCUUAAUUUACAAGUGUCUACAAAAUGUAAUGUAUGCAAUCAUUGAACUCUCAAAUAAAAUUCUCCUCUGUCUCUAAUACUAACAGUUGUAUACUGCAUAUUACUCAGUUCUAUAUAUUUAUUAUAUCUUA
Molecule: long non-coding RNA, 725 nt
Filed under: Mytilus galloprovincialis (Mediterranean mussel)
Lineage: Eukaryota; Metazoa; Mollusca; Bivalvia; Mytilida; Mytilidae
Source: RNAcentral